This 2209-nucleotide ribosomal RNA is filed under the name Escherichia coli. RNAcentral describes it as "partial 23S ribosomal RNA". It matches the Rfam family "Bacterial large subunit ribosomal RNA", at positions 1 to 2226 of the family's 2925-position model. The record is from RNAcentral. Lineage: Bacteria; Pseudomonadati; Pseudomonadota; Gammaproteobacteria; Enterobacterales; Enterobacteriaceae.
GGGUUGUGAGGUUAAGCGACUAAGCGUACACGGUGGAUGCCCUGGCAGUCAGAGGCGAUGAAGGACGUGCUAAUCUGCGAUAAGCGUCGGUGAGGUGAUAUGAACCGUUAUAACCGGCGAUUUCCGAAUGGGGAAACCCAGUGUGUUUCGACACACUAUCAUUAACUGAAUCCAUAGGUUAAUGAGGCGAACCGGGGGAACUGAAACAUCUAAGUACCCCGAGGAAAAGAAAUCAACCGAGAUUCCCCCAGUAGCGGCGAGCGAACGGGGAGGAGCCCAGAGCCUGAAUCAGUGUGUGUGUUAGUGGAAGCGUCUGGAAAGGCGUGCGAUACAGGGUGACAGCCCCGUACACAAAAAUGCACAUAUUGUGAGCUCGAUGAGUAGGGCGGGACACGUGGUAUCCUGUCUGAAUAUGGGGGGACCAUCCUCCAAGGCUAAAUACUCCUGACUGACCGAUAGUGAACCAGUACCGUGAGGGAAAGGCGAAAAGAACCCCGGCGAGGGGAGUGAAAAAGAACCUGAAACCGUGUACGUACAAGCAGUGGGAGCCUCUUAAUGGGGUGACUGCGUACCUUUUGUAUAAUGGGUCAGCGACUUAUAUUCUGUAGCAAGGUUAACCGAAUAGGGGAGCCGAAGGGAAACCGAGUCUUAACUGGGCGUUAAGUUGCAGGGUAUAGACCCGAAACCCGGUGAUCUAGCCAUGGGCAGGUUGAAGGUUGGGUAACACUAACUGGAGGACCGAACCGACUAAUGUUGAAAAAUUAGCGGAUGACUUGUGGCUGGGGGUGAAAGGCCAAUCAAACCGGGAGAUAGCUGGUUCUCCCCGAAAGCUAUUUAGGUAGCGCCUCGUGAAUUCAUCUCCGGGGGUAGAGCACUGUUUCGGCAAGGGGGUCAUCCCGACUUACCAACCCGAUGCAAACUGCGAAUACCGGAGAAUGUUAUCACGGGAGACACACGGCGGGUGCUAACGUCCGUCGUGAAGAGGGAAACAACCCAGACCGCCAGCUAAGGUCCCAAAGUCAUGGUUAAGUGGGAAACGAUGUGGGAAGGCCCAGACAGCCAGGAUGUUGGCUUAGAAGCAGCCAUCAUUUAAAGAAAGCGUAAUAGCUCACUGGUCGAGUCGGCCUGCGCGGAAGAUGUAACGGGGCUAAACCAUGCACCGAAGCUGCGGCAGCGACACUAUGUGUUGUUGGGUAGGGGAGCGUUCUGUAAGCCUGUGAAGGUGGCCUGUGAGGGUUGCUGGAGGUAUCAGAAGUGCGAAUGCUGACAUAAGUAACGAUAAAGCGGGUGAAAAGCCCGCUCGCCGGAAGACCAAGGGUUCCUGUCCAACGUUAAUCGGGGCAGGGUGAGUCGACCCCUAAGGCGAGGCCGAAAGGCGUAGUCGAUGGGAAACAGGUUAAUAUUCCUGUACUUGGUGUUACUGCGAAGGGGGGACGGAGAAGGCUAUGUUGGCCGGGCGACGGUUGUCCCGGUUUAAGCGUGUAGGCUGGUUUUCCAGGCAAAUCCGGAAAACCAAGGCUGAGGCGUGAUGACGAGGCACUACGGUGCUGAAGCGACAAAUGCCCUGCUUCCAGGAAAAGCCUCUAAGCAUCAGGUAACAUCAAAUCGUACCCCAAACCGACACAGGUGGUCAGGUAGAGAAUACCAAGGCGCUUGAGAGAACUCGGGUGAAGGAACUAGGCAAAAUGGUGCCGUAACUUCGGGAGAAGGCACGCUGAUAUGUAGGUGAAGCGACUUGCUCGUGGAGCUGAAAUCAGUCGAAGAUACCAGCUGGCUGCAACUGUUUAUUAAAAACACAGCACUGUGCAAACACGAAAGUGGACGUAUACGGUGUGACGCCUGCCCGGUGCCGGAAGGUUAAUUGAUGGGGUUAGCGGUAACGCGAAGCUCUUGAUCGAAGCCCCGGUAAACGGCGGCCGUAACUAUAACGGUCCUAAGGUAGCGAAAUUCCUUGUCGGGUAAGUUCCGACCUGCACGAAUGGCGUAAUGAUGGCCAGGCUGUCUCCACCCGAGACUCAGUGAAAUUGAACUCGCUGUGAAGAUGCAGUGUACCCGCGGCAAGACGGAAAGACCCCGUGAACCUUUACUAUAGCUUGACACUGAACAUUGAGCCUUGAUGUGUAGGAUAGGUGGGAGGCUUUGAAGUGUGGACGCCAGUCUGCAUGGAGCCGACCUUGAAAUACCACCCUUUAAUGUUUGAUGUUCUAAC